RNAcentral lists this ribosomal RNA (465 nucleotides) under Vreelandella stevensii. Its description in RNAcentral is "partial 16S ribosomal RNA". It matches the Rfam family "Bacterial small subunit ribosomal RNA", at positions 338 to 795 of the family's 1533-position model. Lineage: Bacteria; Pseudomonadati; Pseudomonadota; Gammaproteobacteria; Oceanospirillales; Halomonadaceae. The record is from RNAcentral.
CCUACGGGAGGCAGCAGUGGGGAAUAUUGGACAAUGGGCGAAAGCCUGAUCCAGCCAUGCCGCGUGUGUGAAGAAGGCCUUCGGGUUGUAAAGCACUUUCAGUGGGGAAGAAAGCCUUGGGGCUAAUACCCUCGAGGAAGGACAUCACCCACAGAAGAAGCACCGGCUAACUCCGUGCCAGCAGCCGCGGUAAUACGGAGGGUGCGAGCGUUAAUCGGAAUUACUGGGCGUAAAGCGCGCGUAGGCGGUCUGAUAAGCCGGUUGUGAAAGCCCCGGGCUCAACAUGGGAACGGCAUCCGGAACUGUCAGGCUAGAGUGCAGGAGAGGAAGGUAGAAUUCCCGGUGUAGCGGUGAAAUGCGUAGAGAUCGGGAGGAAUACCAGUGGCGAAGGCGGCCUUCUGGACUGACACUGACGCUGAGGUGCGAAAGCGUGGGUAGCAAACAGGAUUAGAUACCCGAGUAGUC